RNAcentral lists this long non-coding RNA (210 nucleotides) under Elaeis guineensis (African oil palm). Its description in RNAcentral is "long non-coding RNA (EGUI_LNC012265)". The record is from RNAcentral. Lineage: Eukaryota; Viridiplantae; Streptophyta; Magnoliopsida; Arecales; Arecaceae.
AAUGCUGUGACUCGGCUCGUCCAGAUUCUUAGUCAGCUAACCUUCAACUUUGAGUCAGCUAAGUGAACAUUCUGAGACAGCUCAGUAGCAGAUGUCAAAAUUUUAUCAUUUUGUCUGUUUUAUCUGUCUGAGACUGGAUCGGCUCAAAUCUUAUUUCAGUCAGCCAACUUGAUUGCUUAAUUGACUAACUGAUUUUCUAGAUAGGCCAGA